RNAcentral lists this transfer RNA (76 nucleotides) under Cordylochernes scorpioides. Its description in RNAcentral is "tRNA-Thr". It matches the Rfam family "tRNA". Rfam says of the family: Transfer RNA (tRNA) molecules are approximately 80 nucleotides in length. Their secondary structure includes four short double-helical elements and three loops (D, anti-codon, and T loops). Further hydrogen bonds mediate the characteristic L-shaped molecular structure. tRNAs have two regions of fundamental functional importance: the anti-codon, which is responsible for specific mRNA codon recognition, and the 3' end, to which the tRNAs corresponding amino acid is attached (by aminoacyl-tRNA synthetases). tRNAs cope with the degeneracy of the genetic code in two manners: having more than one tRNA (with a specific anti-codon) for a particular amino acid; and 'wobble' base-pairing, i.e. permitting non-standard base-pairing at the 3rd anti-codon position. The record is from RNAcentral. Lineage: Eukaryota; Metazoa; Arthropoda; Arachnida; Pseudoscorpiones; Chernetidae.
GUCCAGGGUAGCCUAGUGGUCAUGGCAUCUGCCCGGUAAGCGGAAGGUCGUGGGUUCGAUUCCCCAUCCCUUGACA